GGAUUAUGGUUCCGUGGAAGAGCGCUUGCCUCACAUGUAUGAGGCACUGGGUUCGAUCCUCAGCACCA
RNAcentral lists this transfer RNA (68 nucleotides) under Marmota monax (woodchuck). RNAcentral's name for it is "tRNA.Val". The record is from RNAcentral. Lineage: Eukaryota; Metazoa; Chordata; Mammalia; Rodentia; Sciuridae.